GACGAACGCUGGCGGCGUGCUUAACACAUGCAAGUCGAACGGAAAGGCCCUGCUUUUGUGGGGUGCUCGAGUGGCGAACGGGUGAGUAACACGUGAGUAACCUGCCCUUGACUUUGGGAUAACUUCAGGAAACUGGGGCUAAUACCGGAUAGGAGCUCCUGCUGCAUGGUGGGGGUUGGAAAGUUUCGGCGGUUGGGGAUGGACUCGCGGCUUAUCAGCUUGUUGGUGGGGUAGUGGCUUACCAAGGCUUUGACGGGUAGCCGGCCUGGGAGGGGGACCGGCCACAUUGGGACUGAGAUACGGCCCAGACUCCUACGGGAGGCAGCAGUGGGGAAUAUUGCACAAUGGGCGGAAGCAUGAUGCAGCAACGCCGCGUGCGGGAUGACGGCCUUCGGGUUGUAAACCGCUUUCGCCUGUGACGAAGCGUGAGUGACGGUAAUGGGUAAAGAAGCACCGGCUAACUACGUG
This 468-nucleotide ribosomal RNA is filed under the name uncultured bacterium. RNAcentral's name for it is "partial 16S ribosomal RNA". It matches the Rfam family "Bacterial small subunit ribosomal RNA", at positions 28 to 507 of the family's 1533-position model. The record is from RNAcentral.